RNAcentral lists this ribosomal RNA (613 nucleotides) under uncultured archaeon. RNAcentral describes it as "bacterial SSU rRNA". It matches the Rfam family "Archaeal small subunit ribosomal RNA", at positions 1 to 593 of the family's 1478-position model. The record is from RNAcentral.
UUCCGGUUGAUCCCGCCGGACCUUACUGCUAUCGGGGUGGGACUAAGACAUGCGAGUCGAGCGUCUCUAGCUAUGUUGAGACGCGGCAUACGGCUCAGUAACACGUGGCUAACCUACCCUCAGGACGGGGACAAACCCGGGAAACUGGGGCUAAUAUCCGAUAGGCGAGGAAUCCUGGAAUGGUUCUUCACCCAAAGGACAUUGGAAACAUGCUUUCUCUGUCGCCUGGGGAUGGGGCCGCGUCCGAUCAGGUUGUUGGUGAGGUAAUGGCUCACCAAGCCUUUAACCGGUACGGGCCGUGAGAGCGGUAGCCCGGAGAUGGGUACUGAGACAAGGACCCAGGCCCUACGGGGCGCAGCAGUCGCGAAAACUCCGCAAUGCACGAAAGUGUGACGGGGCUACCCCGAGUGCCGUCCGCUGAGGAUGGCUUUUCCUUGGUGUAACUAGCCGGGGGAAUAAGGAGAGGGCAAGACUGGUGUCAGCCGCCGCGGUAAUACCAGCUCUCCGAGUGGUAGGGAUGAUUAUUGGGCUUAAAGCGUCCGUAGCCGGCUUAGCAAGUUUCCUGUUAAAUUCAGCGACCUAAUCGUUGAGCCGCGGGAAAUACUACUAGGCU